UUCUGUUUACUUAGUUCUGUUACUGGCCUUUUCUUCAUUAAGACGGAAAAAUCAAAGCCUGACGUGAUAAGCAUAACGUCCACAUUUGACUUACUUCGGUGUGAGAAGGCAGCCUUCCCCCCAGUCUCAGCCUUGCAGCUCAUCCCAGCAGUGGAGGUCUGAUGAGACGGCUGCAGAAGCAGGAGAAUCAGCUGCUGGAAUAUGCAGGCCCCCUCCCAGCUGAGCACAUGGGUUCUUCAGCCCCUCUGUUUGGAAACUGUCUGCUUAAAUGUCUUAUCUUUCUAAUCUUGGCUUAAAGGUGACUUCUUCAGCCAGCCCUCCCCCCCUGCUUACCUAUAACUAAAAAUAGUGUCUCCAUUUGUAUCUUGGGGUUUCUCUUUAUCUCCUACUUAAAUCGUUGGUUUUACUCACUGCCAUUCCGGACAGCUGGCGCCGGUCCUGUCGCAUAGGUGGAGUUGAGCACACGUGUGUAAGUCCGGAGCCCUUCUGGGCUUUAGUUUGUGGGAGGAUCCUUCAGGCACAAGGGCUGAGUUCUCUGCAUUCCAGCCUUCUGCGGCUAACCACCGUCAGCUGCUACUUACGUAAGAAUUGCUUUCUGACUACAUGGCAUGCACCUGACCUUGAAGGCCGAAAGCUUUUUAAGUGAGGAGUGGAAUUAAAAAGAAGGAGAAUUAGCAGAUUAAAUUUUAUAUGUUAGUAUUUUCCAAGUGACACUAGGGUUAGAAAAAGAAUUAUCAAGAUAAACUUUGAUAAUUACUGCAUUAGAGCCAUAAGAUUUACACUUUGUCUAUAUUGAUUUAUUUGUCUAUAUUAAACUUUUGUCUGUAUUGUCUGUAUUGAUGCUUUGUCUAUAUUGUCUUAGGUCUUGAUAUGAGAAAUAAAAAGAAUUAGUAGUUGCAUCUUUUACUUAUUAAAAAUAAGAUAUUUAAAAUUCAUUUUCAUGGUGGAUUUUGAAAAAUUGUGUUUAUAUAUCGAUGUAAUAAAGGUCAGCAUCUUAGCCAUUUUAACGUGUGCGGCUCAGUGGCGUUAGUGCGUUCACCAUCACUGCCAUCCUGUUGCUAGAACUUUUCAUCUUCCCAGACCCUGUUGAACCCUGACUGCCCCCUCUCCUCUCCCCUUGGCCCCUGGGAACAACUGUUUUACUUUUAUUUCUAUGAAUUUGAUGAGUUUUAAAAUUCUUUUCCAUAAAUUAUUGUCCACACUAAUAUGUAAUACUAAUAUCUCGUGUCUCCAGGAAUCACCUCGUUUAAGAUAACCUUGGCCUACCUGAUGCAUAGUUGCCUUACCUUGGGAAAUGGCAGACACUUCUCAUUAAGGACCCGAAAUUACCUGCUUUAGUCCCUGCCCCCAGCCAUCACUAACCUUAACAUGCUCACCUCGAGAAAGAUCAUCUUGCUCAUUUGAGAAAACAGUAACUCUAGAGAAUGACUUUUUAGUGACAGAUGGUAAGAUGGACUUCCUUGAAUAUGUUUUCAUGUGCUUGGGAUUCCAAACUUUUUACCAGUCUCCACUGAGAAAGGCAAAAAGAACCAAAAACAGUCACUUAGUAUUUUUA
RNAcentral lists this long non-coding RNA (1555 nucleotides) under Bos grunniens (domestic yak). RNAcentral describes it as "lncRNA (ENSBGRG00000007393.1)". Lineage: Eukaryota; Metazoa; Chordata; Mammalia; Artiodactyla; Bovidae. The record is from RNAcentral.